CCUACGGGAGGCUGCAGUGAGGAAUAUUGGUCAAUGGGCGGGAGCCUGAACCAGCCAAGCCGCGUGAGGGAAGCAGGUACAGCGUAUCGUAAACCUCUUUUGUCAGGGAACAAAGGCGGGGACUAGUCCCCGGCUGAGGGUACCUGAAGAAAAAGCAUCGGCUAACUCCGUGCCAGCAGCCGCGGUACUACGGAGGAUGCGAUCGUUAUCCGGAUUUAUUGGGUUUAAAGGGUGCGCAGGCGGCCUGUUAAGUCAGCGGUAAAAGCCCGGGGCUCAACCCCGGCGAGCCGUUGAAACUGGCGGGCUGGAGUGGGAGAGAAGUACGCGGAAUGCGCGGUGUAGCGGUGAAAUGCUUAGAUAUCGCGCAGAACCCCGAUUGCGAAGGCAGCGUACCGGCUCCACACUGACGCUGAGGCACGAAAGCGUGGGUAUCGAACAGGAUUAGAUACCCCUGGAGUC
RNAcentral lists this ribosomal RNA (459 nucleotides) under uncultured bacterium. Its description in RNAcentral is "partial 16S ribosomal RNA". It matches the Rfam family "Bacterial small subunit ribosomal RNA", at positions 338 to 795 of the family's 1533-position model. The record is from RNAcentral.